UGGCUUAGUGGUUAAGAGCACUGACUGCUCUUCCAGAGGUCUGGGUUCAAUUCCCAG
This 57-nucleotide transfer RNA is filed under the name Mus musculus (house mouse). The record is from Rfam by way of RNAcentral. RNAcentral also lists the same sequence under 1 other name. Lineage: Eukaryota; Metazoa; Chordata; Mammalia; Rodentia; Muridae.